AACUCCUCCAAAUGUUUGUGUGGGCAUUCACCUGCAAAACCAUGAAACCUAGGCAACAAAUCUAUCAGUCCAGUGUUGAAAACACAACGAAUAUCCUCCUCACCAAGUGGAAACGACUCCCUAGGAGCACUCUCAUGAGAUCGAGGAGGAACCGUACUGUUCUCAACAUAGACAUCAACAGGAGAAUCAUAAUCAUAGGCAUAGACAGAAUAAGCAGUAUCCACAAAGCCAAAAUAGGUAGACAUGGGAAAGAAGGGGGAAAAAGAAGAAUGCGAUGAAAAUAUGCAACUAAAGCUACCUAAAUGCAACACACAAUGACAAACACACAAAACAGAACAUCAGACUCACAACACAAGACAAAACACAACACACACUAACACAACAAAAGACCUAAAACUGAACCGUUGGUCCCCGGCAACGGCGCCAAAAUUUAAUGGGUGUCGCACCCCAUGCA
RNAcentral lists this long non-coding RNA (454 nucleotides) under Vigna radiata. RNAcentral describes it as "long non-coding RNA (VRAD_LNC014766)". Lineage: Eukaryota; Viridiplantae; Streptophyta; Magnoliopsida; Fabales; Fabaceae. The record is from RNAcentral.